This 81-nucleotide transfer RNA is filed under the name Hortaea werneckii EXF-2000. RNAcentral describes it as "tRNA-Ser (CGA) (tRNA-Ser-CGA-1-1, tRNA-Ser-CGA-1-2)". It matches the Rfam family "tRNA". From Rfam's summary of the family: Transfer RNA (tRNA) molecules are approximately 80 nucleotides in length. Their secondary structure includes four short double-helical elements and three loops (D, anti-codon, and T loops). Further hydrogen bonds mediate the characteristic L-shaped molecular structure. tRNAs have two regions of fundamental functional importance: the anti-codon, which is responsible for specific mRNA codon recognition, and the 3' end, to which the tRNAs corresponding amino acid is attached (by aminoacyl-tRNA synthetases). tRNAs cope with the degeneracy of the genetic code in two manners: having more than one tRNA (with a specific anti-codon) for a particular amino acid; and 'wobble' base-pairing, i.e. permitting non-standard base-pairing at the 3rd anti-codon position. Lineage: Eukaryota; Fungi; Ascomycota; Dothideomycetes; Mycosphaerellales; Teratosphaeriaceae. The record is from RNAcentral.
GGCGGAGUAGCAAAGUGGUUACUGCGAUUGACUCGAAAUCAAUUGCCUUCGGGCGCGCAGGUUCGAAUCCUGCCUCCGUCG